RNAcentral lists this ribosomal RNA (305 nucleotides) under uncultured bacterium. Its description in RNAcentral is "bacterial SSU rRNA". It matches the Rfam family "Bacterial small subunit ribosomal RNA", at positions 337 to 634 of the family's 1533-position model. The record is from RNAcentral.
GCCUACGGGGGGCAGCAGUAGGGAAUCUUCCACAAUGGGCGAAAGCCUGAUGGAGCAACGCCGCGUGGGUGAAGAAGGUCUUCGAAUCGUAAAACCCUGUUGUUAGAGAAGAAAGUGCGUGAGAGUAACUGUUCACGUUUCGACGGUAUCUAACCAGAAAGCCACGGCUAACUACGUGCCAGCAGCCGCGGUAAUACGUAGGUGGCAAGCGUUAUCCGGAUUUAUUGGGCGUAAAGGGAACGCAGGCGGUCUUUUAAGUCUGAUGUGAAAGCCUUCGGCUUAACCGGAGUAGUGCAUUGGAAACU